This 253-nucleotide ribosomal RNA is filed under the name uncultured bacterium. RNAcentral describes it as "partial 16S ribosomal RNA". It matches the Rfam family "Bacterial small subunit ribosomal RNA", at positions 524 to 776 of the family's 1533-position model. The record is from RNAcentral.
UACAUGUGGGGCAAGCGUUGUUCGGAAUUACUGGGCAUAAAGGGUGCGUAGGCGGCUUGUUAAGUCAGGGGUGAAAGUUUUCGGCCCAACCGGAAAAUUGCCUUUGAUACUGGCGAGCUGGAGUGCGUGAGGGGUGACCGGAACGAGUGGUGUAGCGGUGAAAUGCGUAGAGAUCGGGAGGAACACCCGUAGCGAAGGCGGCCGACUGGACCACACCUGACGCUGAGGCGCGAAGGCCAGGGGAGCGAACGGG